GUACUCAGGUGAAUAUGAUGUUUGUUAUGUUACUCAGAGUGUAUGUUUGUGAUGUUACUCGCCCGGUGUGGACAUACACUCUGAGUAACAUCACAAACAUCAUAUUCACCU
Molecule: non-coding RNA, 111 nt
Organism: Paramuricea clavata
Lineage: Eukaryota; Metazoa; Cnidaria; Anthozoa; Malacalcyonacea; Plexauridae
Source: the annotation of a GenBank genome assembly